GGCAACCUGCCGUAGAGUGGGGAAUAACCCCGGGAAACCGGGGCUAAUACCGCAUAUUGUGUCGGAUCAUAUGGUUUGACAUGAAAGCCUUCGGGCGCUCUGCGAUGGGCCUGCGUUGGAUUAGCUUGUUGGUAGGGUAAAGGCCUACCAAGGCUGUGAUCCAUAGCUGGUCUGAGAGGACGAUCAGCCACACUGGCACUGAGACACGGGCCAGACGACUACGGUCGGCAGCAGUAAGGAAUAUUGCGCAAUGGACGAAAGUCUGACGCAGCCACGCCGCGUGCAGGAUGACACCCCUAUGGGGCGUAAACUGCUUUUAUGCGAGAAGAAAUCCCCGGACGUGUCCGGGGCCAGACGGUAUCGCACGAAUAAGGACCGGCUAACUCCGUGCCAGCAGCCGCGGUAAUACGGAGGGUCCAAGCGUUGUCCGGAUUCAUUGGGUGUAAAGGGUGCGCAGGCGGGCCUGUAAGUCAGGGGUGAAAUCCCACGGCCUAACCGUGGAACUGCCUUUGAUACUGCAGGUCUUGAGUACUGGAGAGGUCGCCGGAAUUCGUGGUGUAGCGGUGAAAUGCGUAGAUAUCACGAGGAACGCCGGAGGUGUAGACGGGUGACUGGACAGUUACUGACGCUCAGGCACGAAAGCGUGGGGAGCAAACAGGAUUAGAUACCCUGGUAGUCCACGCUGUAAACGAUGGAUACUCGGUGUUGGCCCUCUAUUAUUGGGGCAGCGCCUAAGCUAACGCAUUAAGUAUCCCACCUGGGGAGUACGAUCGCAAGGUUGAAACUCAAAGGAAUUGACGGGGGCCCGCACAAGCGGUGGAGCAUGUGGCUCAAUUCGAUGCAACGCGAGGAACCUUACCUGGGCUCGAACGCUACCGGACAACCCCUGAAAGGGGGUCUUCUUCGGACUGGUAGUGAGGUGCUGCAUGGCUGUCGUCAGUUCGUGUCGUGAGAUGUUGGGUUAAGUCCCGCAACGAACGCAACCCCUAUCGCUAGUUACCAGCGGGUAAUGCCGGGGACUCUAGCGAGACUGCCUGCGCAAGCGGUGAGGAAGGUGGGGAUGACGUCAAGUCAUCAUGGCCUUUAUGCCUAGGGCUGCACACGUGCUACAAUGGUCGGUACAAUGGGCUGCCACUUCGCGAGAAGGAGCUAAUCCUGAAAGCC
RNAcentral lists this ribosomal RNA (1164 nucleotides) under uncultured organism. RNAcentral's name for it is "bacterial SSU rRNA". It matches the Rfam family "Bacterial small subunit ribosomal RNA", at positions 120 to 1283 of the family's 1533-position model. The record is from RNAcentral.